RNAcentral lists this transfer RNA (56 nucleotides) under Heterakis dispar. RNAcentral's name for it is "tRNA-Lys". Lineage: Eukaryota; Metazoa; Nematoda; Chromadorea; Rhabditida; Heterakidae. The record is from RNAcentral.
UAGAGUACUAACUUAUAUUAAAGUAUUAGAUUUUUAAUCUGAAGAAGGGUUCGCCG